UAUUGCACAUUCACCGGCCUGA
Molecule: non-coding RNA, 22 nt
Organism: Drosophila melanogaster (fruit fly)
Lineage: Eukaryota; Metazoa; Arthropoda; Insecta; Diptera; Drosophilidae
Source: Ensembl